UUAAGCUCAAGAGCAUAGAGGGACAAAUUCAGAUAAGGGAAAAGAGAAAGUAAUCGAAUAGCCGUUGUAAUCGUUCAGCAACAUUCGAGAUCGUUGACUCUUACUAUUAGCUCGGGGAUCGUCAGCACUUCGUCACACUAUCUACUAUUGUAGUAAUCAUGUGAUUUGGACUUAGCUUAUGGCAUGUAUAGGAUAGACUAUAAGUAGAAUGAUAUUUUGACUAUUGUAUAUAAGCCAUGCGAAUAUGGCAUCUUAUGGAAGUUUACUUUUAUAAGUUUUAAAUUCGAUCUUUGUUUGUGUCUAUUAGUUAUAUAAAUAAAUGAUCUUAUAUUUAAGAAAA
Gossypium arboreum is the source of this 340-nucleotide long non-coding RNA. RefSeq lists it as uncharacterized. The record is from RefSeq and is a predicted model, not a curated record. NCBI's taxonomy places the organism in Eukaryota, Viridiplantae, Streptophyta, Magnoliopsida, Malvales, Malvaceae. The transcript has 2 exons.